Molecule: long non-coding RNA, 1036 nt
Filed under: Scophthalmus maximus (turbot)
Lineage: Eukaryota; Metazoa; Chordata; Actinopteri; Pleuronectiformes; Scophthalmidae
Description: lncRNA (ENSSMAG00000037726.1)
Source: RNAcentral
GGAGUUCACUGCUAAAGUCACAGCACCAGCUACUGCAAAGGGCCAGUCAGAAACUCUGUUCCUCUCUGAAGUAAAGAAACAGCCCUCAGUUACAGUAACAGAAGAAGACAGGCAACCAAAGCCCUGCACCACUGACAAUAAGGACCAAUCUGAAGCCUUUACAAACAAGAAGAAAAAGAGGGACACUUCCAAACCCAAACCUGGGGUAGUGGUGGGAGAGGAACAGCAGACUUCUCCCACAACAGAAUCAGAAAUUUCCCCUGAAGCAGAUUCUCCAGUCUCCGGAAAGAAAAAGAAAAAGAAUUGGUUGAAAGCUGAGGUACAAUCAGAUGGAAUGAAGACUCAGUCACAGGUCAGUGCAGAGGCAGAGAUCACUUCAGUAAGUUGUGAGACAUCAGAAGAAACCACAAUGACAACACCGAAAACUGAUGCUACAGUCCCUGCUAAGAAGAGCAGGAAGGUCAUGAAGGCUGCAAGCAAACCUGAGGGGAUCAAGGGGGUAUCACAGGUUUAUAGUGUGAGUUCAGAAGAGGAUGGCACAUCAGUAAGCUUUGAGGAAUCUUCAGAAGGUGACACAAUCACCAAACUCAAAAAGCCAACUGGAGCUAUAAUUCCUGUCAAAAAGAAUAAUAACAAAAAGGGCCUCAAGGCUGAUGCCCAUGUUGAGAUAGAGGGAGAACACGCCAAUACUGAGAUCACAUCUGAAGCAUUACAAAAUACCACUGCAGUGCCAGUUAAAAAGAAGACAAAGAAAAGGGGAACGCAGAAACUGGAACACAGCUUUGUAGCUUCACCUGUUGCAGAUGACAGCAUUGAAACACCACUGAAGAACAAAAGUAAAAGGAAUCGUAAAGAAACUAAGACUUCAGUGAAAGAGGAACAAGUAGUAGAUGAAACCCUGCAGGAUACAGAGCUCCCACUGGAUGAAAUUGAGGUGGUUUCCUCCUACAGCAAACUGACCAAAAAGAAGAAGAGGAAACUUUUGCCGAGAAGACAAAACGUGGAAAUGAUUUUGAAGAGCCAUCCACACCUCUGA